RNAcentral lists this long non-coding RNA (1037 nucleotides) under Homo sapiens (human). Its description in RNAcentral is "HSALNT0107978". Lineage: Eukaryota; Metazoa; Chordata; Mammalia; Primates; Hominidae. The record is from RNAcentral.
CUGACUUCCAGAACGACGCUGUGGACCGUCGCGAGUUAAGACAAUGAAAGCACGCAAGCAAGCCUCAGUGACUGUGCCGGAAUUAGCAGUUACCUGACAAGGAAUACUGUCAGCAGCUUCAGAUCAUCCGCCUUGUGAAGAAGACUCCUGCUUCCCCUUCACCUCCACCGUGGUUGUAAAUUUCCUGAGGAUUCCCAAGCUAUGAGGAACUAUGAGUCAAUUAAACCUCUUACCUUUAUAAAUUACCCAGUCUCGGGUAGUAUCUUUAUAGCAGAGUGAGAAUGGACAAAUACAGUACCCCACUAUAUUACCUUCUGUUCUAUUUUCUGUAUCAAAUGUCUAGCCAUUCAUACUUGAAAUCUGGGAAUCACCCUGUAGAUGCCCUUCCUCUGGAGGAUAUUCUCUUUUCCUCACUGUUCCUCAUUUCAUUGGUCAGAAAAUAUUGCCACUAAUUGCUACUAUAUUUUCUCAAUUUCUGUUCAUGCUAUUCCUUCCUCUGCAUUUCAUUAUUGCCUACUCCUCCUUUUGCAUCUUCAUGUGGUUAUAUAUAUUAAAUUCAGUCUGACCUAUUUUGAUAUAAGUAAAUAAAAUCUUAAAAUGCUGUAAAUGACACUUUUAGUUCAUGGUACUUAAAAUUCCUUUAUUAUAUCAUGUUCAUUCAGGUUGUCUUGUCUUUACACAUACUGUUAUUUUUUCCCAGAAUAUUUCAAUUUCUGACAUAUCCUCUGAUCCUUGCUAGCAUCUAUCUUUGGGAAAUUUUACUUGUUCUACAAGACUCACAUAAGCAGCAUUUCCUGCAGAAAAAUCUUCCCAUAUGUCUACCAUUGGAUGUGACUAUAUCAUAGGUUCCUUUUUUAUUCACUUAACAACACAUAUCAUUACUUCAGUAAUAUGUUUACCAUAUUCUGAUCUAUUUAUUUAUUUUAGGUUAGUUUAUAAAAGCAGGCAUUGUGUAACAUGUUGGCGUCCUAAGUUAAAGCACUUGAAAAUAUGUUUAAUAAAUACAUGAAAGAAUGAAAUGCAAAAAAUAAAUAAAA